UAAUGGUGGAGUUAAAAGUGUUUAGGGGCUACCAUUUCAUUGAAAAGGAUGCAGGAUAUCACACAAAAUGGCAAGAGAGGAUAGAUCCAUUGAUGUCCACAGCCUCUACUCGUUUUUGCUCUAUCUGGUGCGACUGUUCUGAUGGCGGAACAGGCAACUGAUUGUUCUGCGUUCCACUUUCCUUUUGGUACCCACUCCUUUGUUCGAUCUUCCCAGUGUCUCAUGUUUCUUUGAUUUCAUCCCUUUCUCCAUCACCUUAUUUUGCUCUUUUUUUUUUUUGAUAUUGUGAUGUGACGAAGAAGGAGGUCAUACAUGAUGGUUUUGAGUGCCACUGGUGGUUCUGAUUUUGCAACCAUUCUGGUUCUCCACCCCUGCUCUUGCGCAGUUCAUUGGUUAUGGAGCGGUUGCUCCCUUAAUCCGCUUGUUCUCCUUUCUGACAGAAUUUCUGCAGCAGUAACGAGUAGGAGGCUGCGUUGAUCCUUUCCUCUCUGACUUUUUUGCACAAAUCUGCACAUAUGAUACUGAAAAACAAAUGCAUGAAGGUGGAAUAAAGGCUAAGGUGCAGGGUGGGAACUAGCUAAAGAUGAGCUAGCCACUCAGGAUCAGCAAAAGAUGGAUAAAAUGGAUAAGAAGUCCUGAGUGUGUUCUCGUUUCCCUGAUCUAAUGCCCAUAACAAGAAGAAUUUCAGUCAAGAUUAGGUUCAAGUACGGUUGAGUUAAGUCUACCCAGUGUAACCUGAUCGGCUGAGAACUUCUGGAGAAUCAAGUGAGAUAUGUCAAAGUGUUCCAGGUCCACAUGUGUGUCUUUCGCCACUGCUAAGGUCACUGAAUAAGAUAACUAAAGCACGAGGUGGUUAGUGAUCAACACGGAAUAAGGUCCUAAUUCCCACAAAUUUUUGACUGACUCAAUAAAAACUGACUCAAAUUGACCCAAAAGAAAAACAAAAGAAAGAAACGAGUUAGUAAACGACGAAAACCCUCCCCCAGACUUACUUCACAACGUCCCUGGUGUGAAAAUAAAUCAGAGAGAAGGCGAAAACAAGAAUAAUUUUUUUUUUUUUUGGGUCGAGAUACUUACCUGGCGCGGAGCAGCCUGACAGAGCAAGACGCGGUUGCUCCGUUAAACCAUGCUCUGGAAUGAGAGUAGCCAGCUGCUUACUCCAGUCAAGGGUCUCGGAUUUUCUGAUUUAUGACCUGAGACUCUAUAAACUAAAAGA
RNAcentral lists this long non-coding RNA (1216 nucleotides) under Brassica rapa (field mustard). RNAcentral's name for it is "long non-coding RNA (BRAP_LNC001495)". Lineage: Eukaryota; Viridiplantae; Streptophyta; Magnoliopsida; Brassicales; Brassicaceae. The record is from RNAcentral.